AGUCGAACGGCAGCACGGGAGCAACCCUGGUGGCGAGUGGCGAACGGGUGAGUAAUACAUCGGAACGUGUCCUGUAGUGGGGGAUAGCCCGGCGAAAGCCGGAUUAAUACCGCAUACGCUCUACGGAGGAAAGGGGGGGAUCUUAGGACCUCUCGCUACAGGGGCGGCCGAUGGCAGAUUAGCUAGUUGGUGGGGUAAAGGCCUACCAAGGCGACGAUCUGUAGCUGGUCUGAGAGGACGACCAGCCACACUGGGACUGAGACACGGCCCAGACUCCUACGGGAGGCAGCAGUGGGGAAUUUUGGACAAUGGGCGCAAGCCUGAUCCAGCAAUGCCGCGUGUGUGAAGAAGGCCUUCGGGUUGUAAAGCACUUUUGUCCGGAAAGAAAACCUCCGCCCUAAUAUGGUGGGGGGAUGACGGUACCGGAAGAAUAAGCACCGGCUAACUACGUGCCAGCAGCCGCGGUAAUACGUAGGGUGCAAGCGUUAAUCGGAAUUACUGGGCGUAAAGCGUGCGCAGGCGGUCCGCUAAGACAGAUGUGAAAUCCCCGGGCUUAACCUGGGAACUGCAUUUGUGACUGGCGGGCUAGAGUAUGGCAGAGGGGGGUAGAAUUCCACGUGUAGCAGUGAAAUGCGUAGAGAUGUGGAGGAAUACCGAUGGCGAAGGCAGCCCCCUGGGCCAAUACUGACGCUCAUGCACGAAAGCGUGGGGAGCAAACAGGAUUAGAUACCCUGGUAGUCCACGCCCUAAACGAUGUCAACUAGUUGUCGGGUCUUCAUUGACUUGGUAACGUAGCUAACGCGUGAAGUUGACCGCCUGGGGAGUACGGUCGCAAGAUUAAAACUCAAAGGAAUUGACGGGGACCCGCACAAGCGGUGGAUGAUGUGGAUUAAUUCGAUGCAACGCGAAAAACCUUACCUACCCUUGACAUGUAUGGAAUCCUGCUGAGAGGUGGGAGUGCCCGAAAGGGAGCCAUAACACAGGUGCUGCAUGGCUGUCGUCAGCUC
This 1007-nucleotide ribosomal RNA is filed under the name Paraburkholderia sediminicola. Its description in RNAcentral is "bacterial SSU rRNA". It matches the Rfam family "Bacterial small subunit ribosomal RNA", at positions 60 to 1061 of the family's 1533-position model. The record is from RNAcentral. Lineage: Bacteria; Pseudomonadati; Pseudomonadota; Betaproteobacteria; Burkholderiales; Burkholderiaceae.